Long non-coding RNA from Stegostoma tigrinum, 855 nucleotides. RefSeq lists it as uncharacterized. NCBI's taxonomy places the organism in Eukaryota, Metazoa, Chordata, Chondrichthyes, Orectolobiformes, Stegostomatidae. The record is from RefSeq and is a predicted model, not a curated record. The transcript is spliced from 4 exons.
UCUAACUUGCUAAUUGUGCUGGGGAGUUUUUGGUGUUUUUUUCCUGUUUUCUCUCCAAUAACGGCGGAUUUGUGACACCUAAUCUUGUAAACCUUUAUUGCAAUGUUCGAAGACGUGAGGGAAGGAAUGAUAUAUUUAUCGGAUCCGUGGCAUACCUGCUUAACAAUACUCGGAUAGAUUCUACCACUCAAGUAUUCUCAACGGCUCCGAAAUUGGUUGGUUUCAGCACGGGUUACUUGAGAAAAGCAGAAACAUCGCCAAGAUAAAUCUCAGAAGUUAAAUGAAAAUUGCAAUACAUUGCUGCUGCCCUGUAGGCGGUCGCCAUUCGGAACAGCCAAAACAAGGGGUUGGAAAAACAGUUAUGCGUAACAAUGGAAGCUACCCACCUCCAGCUACAGACGGACCAUAACGGACUCCACAUAUGCUUUAUUCAUUUGGCUUUCACGAAGAUCAUUCAACCGAACAUCAAUAACAUUUUGGAAGGGAGACCUGAGUUCCACAGCAGUCACGCGGUUAACUAGCGCCUUUUCUCUAUGUUAUGUACAUCCAUAAAGAUCUUGGAAAAAGCUCCAAAAUAUUGCAGAUUGAGCCGAUGAGACCGUUACUAUCUCUAAAGGCACUGAAGAGGACCUGAAAUCCAAAGGAAAUAGGAGUAAUUGCCUACUGCUAAUGUGUAUUCCAGGGAAUUCAAAAACAACUGCUGGCCAGUGCAAAAUACCACUGUUUACCAGAUCCUCUACUCCAAGUAAAUGAUGGCAGACUGUACACUGAGAUUUGUAUAAUUCUUUCAUGUGAAGCACUCAAUAAUACAAACUAUGCCCCCUUGAAUGAAGAUAACUAUAGGUUAAAUAUAUC